GCCCGGGUGGUGAAAUUGGUAAACACAGCGGACUUAAAAUCCGCCGCCGUUAGGCUUGUCGGUUCAAGUCCGAUCCCGGGCAC
RNAcentral lists this transfer RNA (83 nucleotides) under Silvimonas amylolytica. RNAcentral describes it as "tRNA-Leu". It matches the Rfam family "tRNA". From Rfam's summary of the family: Transfer RNA (tRNA) molecules are approximately 80 nucleotides in length. Their secondary structure includes four short double-helical elements and three loops (D, anti-codon, and T loops). Further hydrogen bonds mediate the characteristic L-shaped molecular structure. tRNAs have two regions of fundamental functional importance: the anti-codon, which is responsible for specific mRNA codon recognition, and the 3' end, to which the tRNAs corresponding amino acid is attached (by aminoacyl-tRNA synthetases). tRNAs cope with the degeneracy of the genetic code in two manners: having more than one tRNA (with a specific anti-codon) for a particular amino acid; and 'wobble' base-pairing, i.e. permitting non-standard base-pairing at the 3rd anti-codon position. The record is from RNAcentral. Lineage: Bacteria; Pseudomonadati; Pseudomonadota; Betaproteobacteria; Neisseriales; Chitinibacteraceae.